Molecule: non-coding RNA, 31 nt
Filed under: Mus musculus (house mouse)
Lineage: Eukaryota; Metazoa; Chordata; Mammalia; Rodentia; Muridae
Source: RNAcentral
UUCACUGAGUUGCACAGUGUAGUUAGGAUUC